Non-coding RNA from Podarcis lilfordi (Lilford's wall lizard), 74 nucleotides. The record is from the annotation of a GenBank genome assembly. Lineage: Eukaryota; Metazoa; Chordata; Lepidosauria; Squamata; Lacertidae.
GCCUGGAUAGCUCAGCUGGUUAGAGCAUGGUGCUGAUAAUGUCAAGGUUGCAGGUUCGAUCCCCGUAUGGGACA